GAUGAAGAACGUAGCGAAAUGCGAUAAGUAAUGUGAAUUGCAGAAUUCAGUGAAUCAUCGAAUCUUUGAACGCACAUUGCGCCCCUUGGUAUUCCGAGGGGCAUGCCUGUUCGAGCGUCAUUAUAACCCCUCAAGCUCAGCUUGGUGUUGGGGCCUGCUGCACUGGCAGCCCUUAAAAUCAGUGGCGGCGCCAUCUGGCUCUAAGCGUAGUAAUUCUUCUCGCUAUGGAGUCCUGGUGGAUGCUUGCCAUCAACCCCCAAUUUUUCUAUGGUUGACCUCGGAUCAGGUAGGGAUACCCGCUGAACUUAAGCAUAUCCAAUAAGCGGAGGA
This 330-nucleotide unclassified non-coding RNA is filed under the name soil metagenome. Its description in RNAcentral is "partial contains 5.8S ribosomal RNA, internal transcribed spacer 2, and large subunit ribosomal RNA". The stretch from base 1 to 120 matches the Rfam family "5.8S ribosomal RNA", at positions 35 to 154 of the family's 154-position model. The record is from RNAcentral.